GAUGACGGCCUUCGGGUUGUAAACCUCUUUCGACAGGGACGAAGCUUUUCGGGUGACGGUACCUGUAGAAGANGCACCGGCUAACUUACGUUGCCAGCAGCCGCGGUAAUACGUUAGGGUGCGAGCGUUUGUCCGGAAUUUAUUGGGCGUAAAGAGCNUCGUAGGCGGUUUUGUCGCGUCGGCCCGUGAAAACCUUGCAGCNUUAACUUGUUGGGCCGUUGCCGGUUCCGAAUACCGGGCAGAAUUUGAGUUUCGGCAGGGGGAGAANUGGAAANUCNUGGUUGUUAGCCGGUUGAAANUGCCGCCAGAAUNUCAGGGAGGGAAACACCCGGUUGGCGAAANGCCGGGUUCUUUUGGGCCCGACUACUUGACGCUUGANGGANCCGAAAGCNNUGGGGGAGCCGAAACAGGAACNAGAAUACCCNUGGUUAGUUCCAAGGGGCCGAAAAUCCAGCCACAANUGGGCCGGCCCG
Molecule: ribosomal RNA, 473 nt
Filed under: uncultured bacterium
Lineage: Bacteria
Description: partial 16S ribosomal RNA
Rfam family: Bacterial small subunit ribosomal RNA
Source: RNAcentral